Peromyscus californicus insignis is the source of this 1525-nucleotide long non-coding RNA. RefSeq lists it as uncharacterized. The transcript is spliced from 3 exons. The record is from RefSeq and is a predicted model, not a curated record. NCBI's taxonomy places the organism in Eukaryota, Metazoa, Chordata, Mammalia, Rodentia, Cricetidae.
UAUGCCAUCUGCUUCAGUUCCUGUGUCCAUGUUCCUGCCUUGACUUCCUUCCCUGACUUCACUCAAUGAUAAGCAAGCUGUAUGACGAAGUCCUUUCCUCGCCAAGUUGUUUUUUGGUCAUGGCCUUCAUUAUAGUAACAGAAAGCAAACUAAGACACCACUGAUAUCCUCAGAUUCAAAAUGAUGUCAGUGAAAGACAAGGAAACCUGUAUUAUGCACACCCUGAUACUCAAGAUGAGAAAACCCAUUGGAAGUGUUUCAAGAUGUGAGCUCUCGGGCACUGUGUCUGCUCCAUGCCUGCCUGCCUGUCUACCUGCCUGCCUGUCUACCUGCCCGCCUGUCUACCUGCCUGCCUGUCUGCCUGCCACCAAAGUCCCUGCCGUGAUCUUCAUGGACUCUAAGCUGGGACCAUAAGACCCAACUUCAGUACUUUCUUUUAUGUGUUGUCUUGGUCAUGGUGUUUUAUCUCAUCAAUAAAAAAGUUACUAAGACUGAUGGCGUUAAGGUUCCUGAUCAGAACUGAAAAUGCAUCAGUAUUUUCUUCCAGUCAAAUGAGCUUGGGUUGUAUAGACAUCUUUGGUAAAAUGUAAACAUGAGACAGUUGGAUAUGCAUCUUUGGUAAAGUGUAAACAUGGGAUUAUGAUAUGUUAUGCAUGAAUUGUUCUAUCUUAUUUGAAGUAAUUGAACUAUUUUAUUUUAAUUUAUAUUAAUAAACAGUUGUAUGAUAUAUUUUUAUUUACUUACCUUUUAUCUCUCUUUCAGGGCAUAUCUUCAAAAAAACAUAAAGUUGAGGCCUGCAUUUUCAUCAUACUCAAAAUAACUUAUUUUAUUCUGUAUAUUCAGAAUUCUGGAUAUUGGUAAAUGCUUGAUAUGCUCGUAGCUUCGUUGUUUUCUAUGGUUUCAUCUGUUUGUUUUCCCAAUUUCAGUUCAUUUUUUAAUUUUCCUGGAGACAAUGUCUCAAAAACAUCAGGGCAUUCUUGAGGUUAGGCAAUCCUCCUGUCUCUGUCUCCUAAGUACUGGGUCAUAGGUGUGAGCCACUUCACCUAGUCAACUUUACAUCUUUAUUGGGAAAUUUUCACAAGAUCUCAUCGUGACUAUUUAUAGACUUUCAGAAUGUGGUUCUUGGUAUAUUGAGUAAAUUAUGUAUAUCUAUAUAUUUAGAGUUCUUGCUCUGGGUGCCACAAUUCAUAAAUGUCACAAUACAAUGGUAAUGACAUUUUCCUACUUCAGUAGACUUAUGAAAACCUAACUUUCAAUGUGCCCCCAUGCCUUCUCUACUUCAAUAUUAUCAUUUUCAGUACCUGGUAAUAUUAGCAUUUUUGUUCCAUUAUCAGAUACAUUGCAUAUAAAUCAUUUAAACAUAUUUCUCUUUUGUUCUUUCUUUUCCAGUGAGAUCAUCCACAGUUUUCUUAUUCGACAAUCUCUUUUCUUUCUGAAGAACUUAUUUUAGUCAUCCUUUAAGGAAAAGUAUAAUGUGCCGGGCGGUGGUGGCGCACGCCUUUAAUCCCAGCACUCGGGAGGCAGA